Molecule: ribosomal RNA, 264 nt
Filed under: uncultured bacterium
Lineage: Bacteria
Description: partial 16S ribosomal RNA
Rfam family: Bacterial small subunit ribosomal RNA
Source: RNAcentral
GUCCACGCCGUAAACGAUGGAUGCUAGCCGUUGGCAAGCUUGCUUGUCGGUGGCGCAGCUAACGCAUUAAGCAUCCCGCCUGGGGAGUACGGCCGCAAGGUUAAAACUCAAAGGAAUUGACGGGGGCCCGCACAAGCGGUGGAGCAUGUGGUUCAAUUCGACGCAACGCGAAGAACCUUACCAAGCCUUGACAUGCCCGGACGGUUUCCGGAAACGGAUUCCUCCCAGCAAUGGGUCGGGACACAGGUGCUGCAUGGCUGUCGU